GCUCCAAUAGCGCAAUCGGUUAGUGCGCGGUACUUAUAUGACAGUGCAGAGCAAUGCCGAGGUUGUGAGUUCGAGCCUCACCUGGAGCA
RNAcentral lists this transfer RNA (89 nucleotides) under Danionella translucida. It matches the Rfam family "tRNA". Rfam says of the family: Transfer RNA (tRNA) molecules are approximately 80 nucleotides in length. The record is from Rfam by way of RNAcentral. Lineage: Eukaryota; Metazoa; Chordata; Actinopteri; Cypriniformes; Danionidae. RNAcentral also lists the same sequence under 1 other name.